RNAcentral lists this ribosomal RNA (275 nucleotides) under uncultured prokaryote. RNAcentral's name for it is "partial 16S ribosomal RNA". It matches the Rfam family "Bacterial small subunit ribosomal RNA", at positions 524 to 798 of the family's 1533-position model. The record is from RNAcentral.
UACGGAGGAUCCGAGCGUUAUCCGGAUUUAUUGGGUUUAAAGGGUGCGCAGGCGGGAGAUUAAGUCGGCGGUGAAAUUUUGCAGCUCAACUGUAAAAGUGCCUUCGAAACUGGUUUCCUUGAGUGUAGAUGAAGUAGGCGGAAUUUGUGGUGUAGCGGUGAAAUGCUUAGAUAUCACGAGGAACUCCGAUUGCGCAGGCAGCUUACUAAACUACUACUGACGCUCAGGCACGAAGGCGUGGGGAUCAAACAGGAUUAGAUACCCGCGUAGUCCCU